UUGACAGCUUUGGAAACUGAACAGCUCUGAUUAUCCACAGAGCAGCUACAGACUGGCCAGUGGCAACAUAAAUCAUUUUAUGCUGCCUUGCCAGUGUGCUUCAUAUAACUUUCUUAGAACCUCAUGCAGUAGAAAAGUUUUAAGUCUCCUUUACCCAGUCUGGUAAGAUUUCCA
RNAcentral lists this small RNA (174 nucleotides) under Chinchilla lanigera (long-tailed chinchilla). RNAcentral's name for it is "TUC338 (ENSCLAG00000019173.1)". Lineage: Eukaryota; Metazoa; Chordata; Mammalia; Rodentia; Chinchillidae. The record is from RNAcentral.